GUACAAAACUAAACUAUAAAUCCAAAGAAAAAUCUACUAAAUAAUAUAUUUAAGAGAAAUUAGGAUAGAUAUACAUUUUCAAGACCAAUAUUAGGAAACUACCACACCCUUGUAUUUUGUACUGUAUAAUUUUAAUUAAUACUAUUCUAUCCCUAUUACUCAGGACCCUACCAAAUCCUGUAGAAAGAUUACAUAUGAUUCGAUUUAUCUCAACCACUCGAUAUACCAAAGAGAGAGAAAAGAUUAAACAUAGAUAUAUGAAAAGGGAAAUAUGAGAGAAGAAAGAAGAAACAAAGAAGCAUAUAAGAAGAAGACGGUAGACGCGGAAACGAAAACGAUGGUAAACGGUUCAUACGGCUGGGCGAUAUGCUUCCAACGGCGAUUCCAUCACCACGUUCUUCGCUUCCGGAUGAAUUCUUCUUCAAAGGUUGCAGUUAACUAAUAAUUGGUUGGUUAGAUGCUACAUGUUAGAUGAUUACAUGUUUGGUUAGCGGCUUCAAAGUAGGAUGCAUGUAAAAAGAAUACGAAAUGGACGGAGACUUUACAAGUUUCUGUGCUUAGAGGAAAGUGUGAGCCACACCACAUAUCAUACUGAUGAAGGGGAACAUCAGACACAUCGUUUCACUUUAGCUUGUUCGGACAGUAGUGGUUAACAUAAUAUUUAUGUUAGCUGGCAUUUGUUUAGUUACCCGCUUUUAUUUAUGUUAUAGAACACAUAUUCAUGUUUGUCUAAAAUGAUAAAUUCAUGUACUUUUAACUCACGGAUUAACUUACACCAAAGUUACACAUUUAACAAUACUUUUACCCGAUAAAAGAAAAUCUUAGACCAAUUCUUACACUUCUCUCUCAUCUCAAAUCUCAUCAGCAUAUAUAUACUAAAGAUUGUAGCAACAAAUUACUGAAUUAACAGUUAAAAUUAUGCCUUACUUUCAUGUUACCAAUAUAGCAUAAACUUUACUUUUUUCUCUCAACAGUUAACUGAAAUUAUAUAUAUACUCUGCUAAAUUGGCUAUGACAUUUUUAAAAGACUUUAUUUGUUGACAAAAAAAAAGAAUCGAUUUAUGUUACAUUGUUAGCAUAUAAUACGUAUACUUAACAACUAACAAUUACAGUUAAUAAUACAUUAAGAAUUACACUAAAUGUUUUGUAUACAACCACUACUUCGUACAUCUCUCUCUCUUCUGUCUAGUUUUCCUAACAUCUAACACUACUAAAAGCCGAAUACGCAGAGCAUACAGCGUGCCACGUCAGAUUUUUUAUUCAGGCCAAUGAAAAAGCUUUUAUUUGCCACAUAUACAUUCCUUUACGCAGCAUAAAAUUUACACGGGCUAUGGCCUGUUAAUAUUUUGUUGUAGCCAUAAGCCCAACUCUCUUUCUUCACCCAAUGACCGUCGAUAUCGUUUUGCCUCUUCCACUUCUCCAUGGUAUUGCCGAUUGAUUUCUGCAACUCUCUGUUUCGUUGAAGUUAUAACUAUUAAGUAUUUACUCUCAAUCAUCCAAUCCUUUAUUUAUUCAUAUCUUAAUUUCAGCUUAACCCACCUUCUUCAUCCCUUAUUCAAGUUCGUACAGCCUCUAGAAUACCUCUUCAAAUUCCUAUUGCUAUCUUCGUCUUUAAAAAUUCGUGCAAAUACUAUUGGAUCGACUGUGAUAUCAAAAGUAAGCCAAAAGACAUGGCAAGUUGCAUACAGUCUCAAUCAAUCUGUGCUGAAAUGCUCUGUGGAUGUCUUUUACAACAUGGUUUGCGUAACACUGAGAAUGUACUUGAUGUGUUCCAGCUUGCGCUGCUAUGUGGUUUCCCUCGGCUUAGCGUCAUAUCUCACCAUAUGAUCAUGAAACACUUCAAGCAGCUUUGUGCUACAGAAGCAUGGAUAUUUAUGCAGAGCCGUCCCUUUCUCGAGGAAAAAAAAACUUAAAAGGCUCUGUCAUCAUCGAAGAAAGUGGUGCUCGCGGGGUUCUUCAAAAGUGGAACAAGAUUGAGGCAAGGCUAAAAGCCACAUCUCAUUUUUGAGAACGAAGGUUUUAGCUUCCUGUCCAAAACACGUUUUGCUUAUUCUAUCAAAAUUGUAGAAAAAAUGACUCUCAAUUUGUUUGUGUAGUAUUAUAAUCCUGAUAAUGAGAAGGUGGAACCCACUGUUGCUACGAUUCUCAAAGGAAGUGAUAAUUUUUUUUGUUUAUGUUCAUUAGUAAGUAUCUGAUAGUAUAUAUUAUAUCCAUAAGAUGUAAAAUGAUUAGCCCACUGAUCGACCUAGACUGUUUUGUUUCUUAUAUUCUUAAGGGUCUUCCAUUUGAGCUAUAAUAACAUGCUUCUAAAUCAGUUGUGGAGUGAAAAUGGUAAUAUUAAGAAUCUUCUCAGCAAUUCUUUCUUUCAGCUUCAAGCUAAUCGUGCUAUUACUGAUAUACAGAAUCAAGUAAAACCCUUGAAAGAAGUGAGAGAAGUUAUGGUCAAAGCUUACCAGAAGGUUAGCUCCUGAGAGUUUCUAAAAUAUAUUGUCAGAAAUCUACUCUAAACAGCCAUUCUUCCAUCAUAUACGUGAACAAUUCUUCCUGAUAGUAGAAGACAAGAGGAUGCAAACUUCAACGUAGAUUUACCGACUGAUGUUAAUGGUGCUGAUAAAAAAAAAUUAAGGCAUGUGCCACUUAAGGAACUUGGUGAGCCCGUUGUCGUCUAUGUUCCUUUAUCUCAGGUCACAUGGGUGCUGUGUUUAUAUGGUCUACACAAUCUUAUGCUGCUUAUACUCCUUCGAUUCUACUCUUGAUGAUCUUAUUCUUAUAAUCAUGUGCAAAUUAAGAGUUUAAGUACAA
Long non-coding RNA from Brassica napus (rape), 2802 nucleotides. RefSeq lists it as uncharacterized. NCBI's taxonomy places the organism in Eukaryota, Viridiplantae, Streptophyta, Magnoliopsida, Brassicales, Brassicaceae. The record is from RefSeq and is a predicted model, not a curated record. The transcript is spliced from 7 exons.